AAAAAAGCAGGCGGUUCUUCGCGCAACGGACGUGACUCGGCUGGCAAGCGCCUUGGUGUCAAGGCGUUCGGCGGCGAACACGUGAUUCCGGGAAAUAUCAUUGCGCGUCAACGCGGCACGACCUNNNNNNNNNNNNCGGCCUUAACGUCGGCAUGGGCACGGAUCACACCCUGUUCGCCAAGAUCGAAGGUCACGUCGAAUUCCGCGCCAAAGCCAACGGCCGCACCUUCGUCUCGGUUAUUCCGAUGGCGGCCGCGGCUGAAUAAACGGUAGACACAUCGCGUCUGCCGGGUCUCGUUGAACCGGCAGAGCGCCAGAAGGCUCGAAAGGGGAGACGGGUAAACCGGCCUCCCCUUUUCGUUUGCGCCCGUUGGGGACG
Molecule: unclassified non-coding RNA, 379 nt
Filed under: Hevea brasiliensis (rubber tree)
Lineage: Eukaryota; Viridiplantae; Streptophyta; Magnoliopsida; Malpighiales; Euphorbiaceae
Source: RNAcentral